RNAcentral lists this transfer RNA (65 nucleotides) under Heterocephalus glaber (naked mole-rat). It matches the Rfam family "tRNA". Rfam says of the family: Transfer RNA (tRNA) molecules are approximately 80 nucleotides in length. Their secondary structure includes four short double-helical elements and three loops (D, anti-codon, and T loops). The record is from Rfam by way of RNAcentral. Lineage: Eukaryota; Metazoa; Chordata; Mammalia; Rodentia; Bathyergidae.
AGUGUAGCUCAGUGGUAGAGCCCCGGCCUGGCGUGCAUGAGGCCCUGGGUUCUAUCCCUAGCACU